CUGACGGAGCGACGCCGCGUGAGCGAUGAAGGCCUUCGGGUUGUAAAGCUCUUUUCUACGGGAGGAAGCCGCAAGGUUGACUGUACCGUAGGAAUAAGCACGGGCUAAGUUCGUGCCAGCAGCCGCGGUAAGACGAACCGUGCGAACGUUGUUCGGAAUCACUGGGCUUAAAGGGCGCGUAGGCGGGCUGUCAAGUCCGGGGUGAAAUCUUUCGGCUUAACCGGAAAAGUGCCUUGGAUACUGACAGUCUCGAGGGAGGUAGGGGCAGCUGGAACUUCCGGUGGAGCGGUGAAAUGCGUUGAUAUCGGAAGGAACUCCGGUGGCGAAAGCGAGCUGCUGGACCUCUUCUAACGCUGAGGCGCGAAAGCUAGGGGAGCAAACGGGAUUAGAUACCCCGGUAGUCCUAGCCCUAAACGAU
RNAcentral lists this ribosomal RNA (418 nucleotides) under uncultured anaerobic ammonium-oxidizing bacterium. RNAcentral's name for it is "bacterial SSU rRNA". It matches the Rfam family "Bacterial small subunit ribosomal RNA", at positions 383 to 810 of the family's 1533-position model. The record is from RNAcentral.